GACGGGCCGCACAAGCGGUGAGUAUGUGGUUAAUUCGAUGCAACGCGAAGAACCUUACCUGGUCUUGACAUCCCGGAGACCCUUAGGAAACUAGGGGUGCUUCCAUCUGGAAGAAUCUGGAGACAGGUGCUGCAUGGCUGUCGUCAGCUCGUGUCGUGAGAUGUUGGGUUAAGUCCCGCAACGAGCGCAACCCUUGCCUUUAGUUGCCAGCAGUUCGGCUGGGCACUCUAAAGGGACUGCCGGUGUUAAACCGGAGGAAGGUGGGGAUGACGUCAAGUCCUCAUGGCCUUUAUGACCAGGGCUACACACGUACUACAAUGGCCGAUACAAAGGGCAGCGACACUGCGAGGUGAAGCCAAUCCCGUAAAAUCGGUCUCAGUCCGGAUUGGAGUCUGCAACUCGACUCCAUGAAGUUGGAAUCGCUAGUAAUCGUGGAUCAGCAUGCCACGGUGAAUACGUUCCCGGGCCUU
This 470-nucleotide ribosomal RNA is filed under the name uncultured Desulfobulbus sp. RNAcentral describes it as "bacterial SSU rRNA". It matches the Rfam family "Bacterial small subunit ribosomal RNA", at positions 918 to 1380 of the family's 1533-position model. Lineage: Bacteria; Pseudomonadati; Thermodesulfobacteriota; Desulfobulbia; Desulfobulbales; Desulfobulbaceae. The record is from RNAcentral.